This 539-nucleotide long non-coding RNA is filed under the name Mytilus galloprovincialis (Mediterranean mussel). Lineage: Eukaryota; Metazoa; Mollusca; Bivalvia; Mytilida; Mytilidae. The record is from RNAcentral.
GUUGGCAGAAAUAUAGAGAAAACUAUGUAGACAAAAUCAAUAAAAAUCUAGGCACUGCUAUCUGUCAAAAACGUCACAUUACCCCUCCUUACAAAAAGAGGUCGCCCCGACCGCGGGUUAUACACAACCAAAUACGGUGACUGUCGCUACCUGAUUUCACAUAUAUAAUUGGUUCCAAGUUAAAUAUACAUAUAGUAGCUAAAAUUAUGACAAUAUCCAUAGAUAAAAAACAACACUAUUUGAGCUUUAAAGUUGUAAUGGUGUCCAAUAUAAAUUGUACCCACACAUUUACCCGUAAUCAUUUUAACAACCCAUAUACAUGUAAACUACAAUUUUCUUUCUUAUUCCCUCCCCUAUUUUAAAUUUAGUUUUACAAUUCCGAACAAUAAAUAAUAAGUAUACAUUAAGUAAAUAGUGGUUUCAUGAUAACAUAUCACUACUAGAGAGUCCACUAAAUAUCUUCUUCGUUGCCGGUCAUCAGGAUUAUCUAUGUAGACGAGAUCUUGAAAGUUCUUGUGACUGACUAACAUACAUUAAAC